AAGCGACCCCAAGACAGGUGAGGUAACCCGCUGAGUUUAAGCAUAU
RNAcentral lists this ribosomal RNA (46 nucleotides) under Disperis tomaszii. Its description in RNAcentral is "partial 26S ribosomal RNA". The record is from RNAcentral. Lineage: Eukaryota; Viridiplantae; Streptophyta; Magnoliopsida; Asparagales; Orchidaceae.